RNAcentral lists this small RNA (17 nucleotides) under Arabidopsis thaliana (thale cress). RNAcentral's name for it is "ATSL290990". The record is from RNAcentral. Lineage: Eukaryota; Viridiplantae; Streptophyta; Magnoliopsida; Brassicales; Brassicaceae.
AUAAAACACAAAAAAAA